AACUUUUAACAAUGGAUGUCUUGGUUCCGCCAUCGAUGAAGAGCGCCGCGAACUGCGAUACGUAAUGUGAAUUGCAGAACCUUGUGAAUCAUCAAACUCUUGAACGCAUAUUGCGCUGAUGGGUAUUCCCAUUAGCAUGCCUGUUGGAGUGUC
RNAcentral lists this ribosomal RNA (153 nucleotides) under uncultured Mamiellales. RNAcentral describes it as "5.8S ribosomal RNA". It matches the Rfam family "5.8S ribosomal RNA". Rfam says of the family: 5.8S ribosomal RNA (5.8S rRNA) is a component of the large subunit of the eukaryotic ribosome. Lineage: Eukaryota; Viridiplantae; Chlorophyta; Mamiellophyceae; Mamiellales. The record is from RNAcentral.